RNAcentral lists this ribosomal RNA (426 nucleotides) under uncultured Actinomycetes bacterium. RNAcentral's name for it is "bacterial SSU rRNA". It matches the Rfam family "Bacterial small subunit ribosomal RNA", at positions 66 to 508 of the family's 1533-position model. The record is from RNAcentral. Lineage: Bacteria; Bacillati; Actinomycetota; Actinomycetes.
GCGAUGAAGUUUCUUCGGAAAUGGAUUAGCGGCGAACGGGUGAGGAACACGUGAGGAAUCUGCCUUCAACACUGGGAUAACUCCGGGAAACCGGGGCUAAUACCGGAUACGAGGCCUGCAGGCAUCUGCGGGUCUGGAAAGUUUUUCGGUUGAAGAUGACCUCGCGGCCUAUCAGCUUGUUGGUGAGGUAAUGGCUCACCAAGGCGACGACGGGUAGCCGGCCUGAGAGGGCGACCGGCCACACUGGGACUGAGACACGGCCCAGACUCCUACGGGAGGCAGCAGUGGGGAAUAUUGGGCAAUGGAGGAAACUCUGACCCAGCGACGCCGCGUGCGGGAUGAAGGCCUUCGGGUUGUAAACCGCUUUCAGUAGGGAAGAAGCGAAAGUGACGGUACCUACAAAAGAAGCACCGGCUAACUAUGUGC